Molecule: ribosomal RNA, 425 nt
Filed under: uncultured bacterium
Lineage: Bacteria
Description: bacterial SSU rRNA
Rfam family: Bacterial small subunit ribosomal RNA
Source: RNAcentral
AACGAACGCUGGCGGCGGGCCUCAUACAUGCAAGUCGAGCGCGAAAGUCCGCAAGGAUGAGUAAAGCGGCGCACGGGUGAGUAACACGUGGGUAAUCUACCUUUUGGAUUGGAAUAACCUGUCGAAAGACGGGCUAAUGCCAAGUAAGUUCUUUGGAACGUGGAGUUUUGAAGAAGAAAGAUGGCGCAAGCUAUCGCCGAAAGAUGAGCCUGCGUCCCAUUAGUUAGUUGGUGGGGUAAUGGCUUACCAAGAUAAUGAUGGGUACCUGGUCUGAGAGGAUGACCAGGCACACUGGAACUGAAACACGGUCCAGACUCCUACGGGAGGCAGCAGUAGGGAAUAUUGCGCAAUGGACGAAAGUCUGACGCAGCCACGCCGCGUGAGUGAGGAAGGCCUUCGGGUUGGUUGAAGCUCUGUCAACUGGG